UACGUAGGGUCCGAGCGUUGUCCGGAAUUACUGGGCGUAAAGAGCUCGUAGGUGGUUUGUCGCGUUGUUCGUGAAAACUCACAGCUCAACUGUGGGCGUGCGGGCGAUACGGGCAGACUGGAGUACUGCAGGGGAGACUGGAAUUCCUGGUGUAGCGGUGGAAUACGCAGAUAUCAGGAGGAACACCGGUGGCGAAGGCGGGUCCCUGGGCAGUAACUGACGCUGAGGAGCGAAAGCGUGGGGAGCGAACAGG
This 253-nucleotide ribosomal RNA is filed under the name uncultured bacterium. RNAcentral's name for it is "partial 16S ribosomal RNA". It matches the Rfam family "Bacterial small subunit ribosomal RNA", at positions 524 to 776 of the family's 1533-position model. The record is from RNAcentral.